Numida meleagris (helmeted guineafowl) is the source of this 522-nucleotide long non-coding RNA. RefSeq lists it as uncharacterized. NCBI's taxonomy places the organism in Eukaryota, Metazoa, Chordata, Aves, Galliformes, Numididae. The record is from RefSeq and is a predicted model, not a curated record. The transcript is spliced from 4 exons.
AUUGGCUGUUCGGCCGCAGAGCCGCAGGCGCGAAUGGAAAGAGCCAAUCAGGGACGGCGGGAGCUCUGUGAGGAGAGCACGAGAUGGCGGCCGGGGCGUCGUGAGGCGGUGCGGCUCCUCUCUCUGAGAACUUUGAGAUUUAGUCUUUGCUUCUUAAUCUGGUCAGAGGCGGAGUACAAAUGAAUGCAGUUCACCAAAGAAACAAUCAAUACUGAAAGUAUUCACCGAGUUAGCACUUCUGCCAUUGAUCAAGAAAGAGCCUGAAAUGAAAUGUAUCAGAAACAAUGAGCGAAGGAAGAACUGCUUGGAGUGUUGCAAAAUGUUUUCAAGAAUAUGAAUUCUUGGACAAGAUUGUUCUGAACAGUAGCACAGUACGACGCAUCUUCUCUCUGGCCACGCAGAACAACAUGCCAGGUAUGCUAAUUACUAAGUGACUGAGGACAUUAAGCAUUGCCCUACAAGUGUCUUUUGCAUACCCAUAGGUGGCUGCUAUAGAGCAUGAGAGCAGCUUUGUGUUAUUCG